GACAGAGGGUGCAAACGUUGCUCGGAAUCACUGGGCGUAAAGGGCGUGUAGGCGGGAAGGAAAGUCAGAUGUGAAAGUCCAGGGCUCAACCCUGGGAUGCCGGUGGAUACUGCUGGGCUAGAGUACGGAAGAGGCGAGUGGAAUUCCCGGUGUAGCGGUGAAAUGCGCAGAUAUCGGGAGGAACACCUAUUGCGAAGGCAGCUCGCUGGGACGUUACUGACGCUGAGACGCGAAAGCGUGGGGAGCAAACAGG
Molecule: ribosomal RNA, 253 nt
Filed under: uncultured bacterium
Lineage: Bacteria
Description: partial 16S ribosomal RNA
Rfam family: Bacterial small subunit ribosomal RNA
Source: RNAcentral